CCUUGUUAGAUGUUAGCUCAGUUGGUAGAGCAGGAGAUGCCUAAUCUCAGGGCCGUGGGUUCGACUCCUGCAUCGCAGGA
Molecule: non-coding RNA, 80 nt
Organism: Podarcis lilfordi (Lilford's wall lizard)
Lineage: Eukaryota; Metazoa; Chordata; Lepidosauria; Squamata; Lacertidae
Source: the annotation of a GenBank genome assembly